GUAGUCAUAUGCUUGUCUCAAAGAUUAAGCCAUGCAUGUCGUCUCAGUAUAAGCAACUUGUAUGUGUGAAACUGCGAAUGGCUCAUUAAAUCAGUUAUAAUUUAUUUGAUAGUGAUUUACUACAUGGAUAGCCGUAGUAAUUCUAGAGCUAAUACAUGCAUAAGGACCCGACUCGUGAGGGAAGGGUUGUAUUUAUUAGAUCGAAAACCAACGCAGAGAGAAGGUCGGGAAACCGCUCUUCUCUUGAAUUUUUGGUGAGUCAUGAUAAAUGUCGAAUCGAAUUUUUAAUUCGAUGUGUCAUUCAAAUUUCUGCCCUAUCAACUUGUUGGUAGGAUAGGGGCCUACCAUGGUUGUGACGGGUAACGGAGGAUUAGGGUUCGAUUCCGGAGAGGGAGCCUGAGAAAUGGCUACUACUUCUAAGGAAGGCAGCAGGCGCGCAAAAUUACCCAAUCCCAAUCAUUUUGGGGAGGUAGUGACAAAAAAAUAUCAAUGCUUGAGAACCUUAUGGUCUCGGUAAUUGAAAUGGUUUGGAAGUAAAUUGUCCAUAGAGCAGCCAUUAGAGGGCAAGUCUGGUGCCAGCAGCCGCGGUAAUUCCAGCUCUAAUAGUGUAUACUAAAAUUGCUGCAGUUAAAAAGCUCGUAGUUGGAUUUUGGAUGGAACAGUAUACCUUUGUGUUGCUGUUUAUAUGGUUUCAUUCUUGUUUCUUAAAGGAAUGGGACCUAUUUAUGGUCACAGAGGUUGUUUCGUCCGGUAUUUUUCGAAAUUGCUUGGUCCCCUUCAUUGGGCGAUCAAGCAAGUUCGGAGGAUUUACUUUGAAGAAAUUGUAGUGUUUAAAGCAGGCGUUUCGCAGCUGAACACAUUAGCAUGGAAUAAUAAAAUAGGACAUCUGAGCAAGUUCCUACCCGGUUACCGCUUGUGAUCUUUCAUUUGGGGCACAGCUCCUUGGAGUUGUCUUGCUUCAUUUGGGGUCAUGGGUAUGGGGCCGGGGGAUUAUUGGGCUUUGCUAUCUAGUAUAUCUAUUUUGUUGGUUUUUGGAGAAGGUGUAAUGAUUAAUAGGGACAGUUGGGGGCAUCCGUAUUGCAUAGUCAGAGGUGAAAUUCUUGGAUUUAUGUAAGACGAACUAGUGCGAAAGCAUUUGCCAAGGAUGUUUUCAUUAAUCAAGAACGAAAGUUAGGGGAUCGAAGGCGAUCAGAAACCGCCGUAGUCUUAACUAUAAACUAUACCAACUAGGGAUUGGAGAGCGUCUUGUAUGGCCUCGUCAGCACCUUUAGAGAAAUCAAAGUCUCUGGGUUCUGGGGGGAGUAUGGUCGCAAGGCUGAAACUUAAAGAAAUUGACGGAAGGGCACCACCAGGUGUGGAGCCUGCGGCUUAAUUCGACUCAACACGGGGAAACUCACCAGGUCCAGACACGGGAAGGAUUGACAGAUUGAUAGCUCUUUCUGGAUUCUGUGGGUGGUGGUGCAUGGUCGUUCUUUAGUUGGUGGAGUGAUUUGUCUGGUUAAUUCCGAUAACGAACGAGACCUUAACCUGCUAAAUAGCUCAGUCUCAAAAGAAUAUUUUGAGAUUUUUUUUUAGAGCUUCUUAGAGGGACUACCAUGGUUGCACAUGGUGGAAGCUUGAGGCAAUAGCAGGUCUGUGAUGCCCUUAGAUGUCCUGGGCCGCACGCGCGCUACAAUGAUGCAUUCAACAAGUUUGUGCUUAUCCGAAAGGGUUGGCUAAUCUUUUAAAACUGCAUCGUGCCUGGGGAUUGAUCUUUGUAAUUUUGGAUCAUGAACUAGGAAUACCUAGUAAGUGCAACUCAUCAGGUUGCGCUGAUUACGUCCCUGCCCUUUGUACACACCGCCCGUCGCUCCUACCGAUUGAAUGAUCAGAUGAAAUGCUCGGAUUUGUGACAUCUGGCUCCUUCGGGGGUUGCUUGUUGUGAAGAAGAGUAGUAAAUCUUAUUAUUUAGAGGAAGGAGAAGUCGUAACAAG
This 1973-nucleotide ribosomal RNA is filed under the name Oxymonas sp. ItaOx8. RNAcentral describes it as "SSU rRNA". It matches the Rfam family "Eukaryotic small subunit ribosomal RNA". The record is from RNAcentral. Lineage: Eukaryota; Preaxostyla; Oxymonadida; Oxymonadidae.